UACGGGGGGGGCAAGCGUUGUUCGGAAUUACUGGGCGUAAAGGGCUCGUAGGUUGCCAACUAAGUCAGACGUGAAAUCCCUCGGCUUAACCGGGGAACUGCGUCUGAUACUGGAUGGCUUGAGUUCGGGAGAGGGAUGCGGAAUUCCAGGUGUAGCGGUGAAAUGCGUAGAUAUCUGGAGGAACACCGGUGGCGAAGGCGGCACCCUGGACCGACACUGACACUGAGGAGCGAAAGCCAGGGGAGCAAACGGG
RNAcentral lists this ribosomal RNA (253 nucleotides) under uncultured bacterium. RNAcentral's name for it is "partial 16S ribosomal RNA". It matches the Rfam family "Bacterial small subunit ribosomal RNA", at positions 524 to 776 of the family's 1533-position model. The record is from RNAcentral.